UACGUAGGGUGCGAGCGUUGUCCGGAAUUAUUGGGCGUAAAGAGCUUGUAGGUGGUUUGUCGCGUCUGCUGUGAAAUUUCGGGGCUCAACCCCGAACUUGCAGUGGGUACGGGCAGACUAGAGUGUGGUAGGGGAGACUGGAAUUCCUGGUGUAGCGGUGAAAUGCGCAGAUAUCAGGAGGAACACCGAUGGCGAAGGCAGGUCUCUGGGCAUUAACUGACGCUGAGGAGCGAAAGCAUGGGGAGCGAACAGG
RNAcentral lists this ribosomal RNA (253 nucleotides) under uncultured bacterium. RNAcentral's name for it is "partial 16S ribosomal RNA". It matches the Rfam family "Bacterial small subunit ribosomal RNA", at positions 524 to 776 of the family's 1533-position model. The record is from RNAcentral.